GAGAUAACACUGCUGCUGUGGCUGCUGCUGCUGCAGCUGCAGCAGCAGAGCCAACACAGCUCCGAGGAAUGCAGACCCCGGGUGAACGCAGCCCUCCUCGCCGGUGCCAAUUGUUGAAGAAGCUGCCGGCCCUGGAAGCAUUGUGUACUGAAUUGUAAGUCAUUAUUUUUCGCUGUGAAUGGCCUUGAAGACAUCAGAAGAAAGAAAGAAAGAAAGAAAGAAAGAAAGAAAGAAAGAAAGAAAGAAAGAAAGAAAGAAAGAAAAGAAAAGUGAAGCUGUUAUGGAAGCUGAGGGGCAGAUGCCUGGUGAGAGAGCAUUCCAAAGCCUGGGGGCAAUCACCAAGAAGGCCCUGUCCCACGUGCACGACAGCGGAGCCUCCCUCAUACUUGCAGAUGGGACAGAUGGAGCUUCCUGCUACACCUCUCCAUAAGCCACCACUUCAGGAAAGGGCCUGGAAGCAGCACCAUUGUUCAUGGAGGAGAGGUCUAUCAGUGGCUACUUGUCUGGUGGCUAUAGGCCGUCUCUGGCCUCACAAGCAAGAUCCCUCUCGAUACCAGUUGCAGGUAAGAAAGUAGGAGAGAGGACGUGCCCUCAUCCACCUCUUGCCUGUGGGCUUCUCAGAGGCAUCUGGUGGGCCAAUGUGGGAAACCAAAUGCAGGACUAGAUAGGCCUUGGGCCUGAUCCAGCAGGGCUGUUCUUAUGUUCCUCAAUGAUUUUCCCAAGGUACAGGAUCCACGUAGAUCAGGGCUGCACAACAUUGGCCCUCCAACUGUUGUUGGACUACAUCUCCCAUCAUCCACUGUGGCCAAUAGGCAGGGAUGAUGACAGCUGCAAGCCCACAACAGCUGGAGGGCUGGAGUUGUGCAGCCCUCACUUGGAUCAAUGGAGAAGGAGAAAGACUACCCCUUCCACCAUACUGAUGCUGUUGCUCGGGGUGGGGGGGGAAUCACAUGACCAGAGCUCUCCUUUGCAUAGCAAAAGACCCCAGGUUCAGGGGAAUCUAUUAUAUUAACUAGCUGACCCCGCACAGAGCAUCUGUGCAGUUGUGCACUGAGCCUGUGGCAUCCCCCCGCAGCGCUCUCGCUCGCUCCCUCCUUCUUGGUCGUGGCUGCAGCAUUGCUGCCGCCUAUUAGCCAAGCUACAGCCCCCUAUACACAGAGACCUCCCCACCCUCAACCAAGCCCCACUCCUGCUCCUCCCCCCAGGAGCAGCAGCAGUGGUUGACCAGGCCAUUCCUCGCUGCUGCUGUCACCACCAUGGCUGCUCGUAACAGUUGCAUUCCAACUGACCUUAACCAUCACAGAUAGGCUCCUCCCCACUAUCUGCAUAUGGAAACCCCACUGCCCAAUCACCAUGGUGCUUCUGCUCUCACAGGCUCCUUAUCCCUAUCUGCAUAUGGAAUCCACACUGCCCAAUCAGGUUCUUCUGCUUGCAAACUCUGUCAGCCAAUCGCCUCCUUUCUACCACGUCCCCACGCAUGGCCCAUCUUGGAGAAUUAAUAAUAUAGAUUCUCCUGGGUGUGCCUUGGAAUGUGCGUCCCAGAGCCCACCUGAUUGGCUGGGCAGCAGACGCUCCUGAUUGGCUGAGGUGCACCCAGGAGGAUUAGUUGUCACAGUGGCAGCCCAGCCGUGGAGGCCAGAGGUGGUGGACCCGGCCCGGCCAUGGAGGCAAGGCCCAGGAGUGGGGGAAGAAAGUGGCGGUGGGGGGGUGAAAUUGACAGUGGGGAGGAGAGGUGGCUGGGCCUGGAAGCAGAAACUGGUGCAGAAGUGGUGGGGCAGAGGUAACCGCUGGCCCCAAAGAGCGCACAGAUGCUCUGUGCAGAGUCAGCUAGUAACUGCACUAAAGCAGGCCACAUCUGCUUCUGAGGCAGCCCUUAAGCCCAUAGGCACAUAGGCAGCUGCCUUAUACUGUCAGACAAUUGGUCCUUGUUGCUCAGUAUUGUCUGUCUAUACAGAAUGGCAAUGGCUUCUCCAAGGUUACA
Hemicordylus capensis (graceful crag lizard) is the source of this 1981-nucleotide long non-coding RNA. RefSeq lists it as uncharacterized. The record is from RefSeq and is a predicted model, not a curated record. The transcript is spliced from 4 exons. Lineage: Eukaryota; Metazoa; Chordata; Lepidosauria; Squamata; Cordylidae.